ACAACGACGUUUCGCUAUAUGAUGGUGAAACUGAUGGCAAUCAAGUUUAAGUGGCUUGAGUUUUUUCCGGUACCCUAAGAUAAGCAUUGCUAGUGUGUACAGAUGAUCCAUGCCUUCUCUAUUUAUUUGAAAGUGAACCCAAAGAUCGUGACGUCAACAAUCCAGUUGACAUUAGAUUCUUGCACUUAUAAGGCUGUAUAAAAAAUCGAACUCCCCUCCUUGAGAUUAUUCUCCUUCUUUGGUGCUUGAUUCAAUGUACUCAUAUCCUUAACCUAAUGUGACUUUGAUUUGAUUUUCCAGCAGAACCUUUAUAUUAUAUAUAAACCUACCAAAGGCCUUUCCGUAUGAAAUUUUAGAGCUCUGGCUUUGUUAUUGUUCAGUUGUAUGUGGUUCAAUUGCAGGUAACCUUUUGUCUCUUCAGAUGAGGUAUUCAA
Papaver somniferum (opium poppy) is the source of this 434-nucleotide long non-coding RNA. RefSeq lists it as uncharacterized. The record is from RefSeq and is a predicted model, not a curated record. NCBI's taxonomy places the organism in Eukaryota, Viridiplantae, Streptophyta, Magnoliopsida, Ranunculales, Papaveraceae. The transcript has 3 exons.